This 888-nucleotide ribosomal RNA is filed under the name Triticum aestivum (bread wheat). Its description in RNAcentral is "partial small subunit ribosomal RNA". The record is from RNAcentral. Lineage: Eukaryota; Viridiplantae; Streptophyta; Magnoliopsida; Poales; Poaceae.
AUGGCCGUCGAACUCAUGGGUUGCGGCUACGCCCCACACGGCCACGCGGCCGAGGCCGAGGAGCAGUUCCAGGAGGCCGCUGCCGCGGGGCUCCUCAGCCUCGAGCUCAUCAUCUCCUCCUUCUCCUCCCGCGCCGGCUGCGCGCCGCCCCUCGGAGAGAUGGCCGACCAGGCGGUGUCCAGGUUCCGCCGGGUCAUCAACAUCCUCGACCGCACCGGCCACGCCCGCUUCCGCCGCGGCCCUGUUGGCGCUGACGCCGACUCGUUGACCCCCCCUCCUGUCUCCUCUGCCCCUCCUCCGAUGCCGGCCCAGGCACCGACACCGGCUGUCUCGCCGCAGCUGGCGCCGCAGAAAAGCAUGACGCUGGACUUCACGAAGCCUUUGAAGGCGCCGGCGGCGGCCUCGGUUGCCGCGCCUUCGGUGACGUCGACGUCUUUCUUCUCGUCCGUGACGGCGGGGGGCGAGGGCAGCGUGUCGAAGGGCUGGAGCCAGCUGGUGUCCUCCGGCAAGCCGCCGCUCCCGGCUGGGACCAAACGCAAGCAACGCCAACAGCAGACGCGCUGCGCGCACUCCGACGCCGCCGCCGGUGGCCGGUGCCACUGCUCGAAGAAGCGCAAGAACCGGGUGAAGUACACGACACGCGUGCCCACGGUAACCUCGGGCGCGGCGGACAUCCCCGGCGUCGGCGACAAGUACUCGUGGCGCAAGUACGGGCAGAAGACCAUCAAGGGGUCCCCUCACCCCCGCUGCUACUACAGGUGCGGCACCGUCAAGGGCUGCCCGGCGCGGAAGCACGUGGAGCGCGCCACCGACGACCCCGCCAUGCUCGUCGUCACCUACGAGGGCGACCACUGCCACGACACUUGGCCGCCGGCCGCCGCAAAUUGA